GAUCUGCUUCUAGUACGAGAGGACCGAAGUGGACGAACCUCUAGUGUACCUGUUGUGGCGCCAGCUGCAUCGCAGGGUAGCUAUGUUCGGAUUGGAUAAGCGCUGAAAGCAUCUAAGCACGAAGCCAGCCGCAAGAUUAGAUAUCCCUUAUGGGUCGUUAUAGACUAUGACGUUGAUAGGCGAUAUGUGUAAGCGUGGUAACACGUUUAGCUGAGUCGUACUAAUUACCCAUCAGGCUUAAGACCU
This 246-nucleotide ribosomal RNA is filed under the name Rhodothermales bacterium. RNAcentral describes it as "partial 23S ribosomal RNA". It matches the Rfam family "Bacterial large subunit ribosomal RNA", at positions 2669 to 2925 of the family's 2925-position model. Lineage: Bacteria; Pseudomonadati; Rhodothermota; Rhodothermia; Rhodothermales. The record is from RNAcentral.